GUAAUUUCCCCCUCAUUAAAACCUAGAUCUGUAGCUUCUCUCCUCUCUCAGAAAAUUGCGCACUCUCCCCAUCACCACACCUUCCAGAUCCUUUCUCCCCCAUGACUUUGUCCUUUAUCACCACCACCAUCGUUUCUUUGCCUCUCGCCACUAUCAACCACCAACCACCGCCGCGCUGCCCCUCUUCUUUCCCCGACGUUGAGGUACGUCGCCGGCAAUCAUCAUGGAGAUCCGUUCGUCCUCACUCUCUAUCUAAAAUCUGGUAGUAUUCACCGGCGUUGGUAACAGAGACGUCGUCGUUGGUCAUCAUGGAGUCUGUGUGCAUUGUAUUAUGUUGAUGUUAAUCUGUUUUGAGUUCAAUAUGGUGUUGUGUUGGAGUUCAAUCUUUUCACUCUCAUUGAUGUGUUGUGCUACUGAUUUUGUUUUCUCUGAAUUUUGAUGGCUACGGGUAAAAAGUGAAAAAAUGUCUACAUGCUCUUCCAAUUUCAAAUGAGCACAAUUGAAAAGAUAGGAUGGGUCACUAUUUUGUUCUAGUUUUGCUGUUAGUGUUGUGUAUUGCUGUUUCGGUAGGAUUGUUUUCAGCUUUUGGGGGCUGCAUUCACUGUUGCUAUAUCUGUGAUUUUGCAGUGGUGGUUUUGUGCUCAGUUUUUUGCCUGGCACUGUGAGAGUUGGCCGCCGCAAUGCUGAGCUGUCGUGGCUUCGCUUUCUUGCUGCCGUGGCUUCGUUUUGCUGUGAAGUGUGUGUUUGCUCAGUUUUCUCAUGCCCUGUUAAUAAACUUGUCUAUAUCAAAGAAUAAAAAGGUCAAGUUAUAGAUUUUCUACCAAUUGCGUCUUCUUUAUAUGAAUUAUCCGAAACAGCACCAACUCGACAAGGUUGUAUAUGUUCAGAUAUAAUGAAGGAGAUGAGUAAUUAGAAAAUUGAGAAGCUGAAGGUCAAGUUAUCUGAUGAGAAGAAAAGAAUUGGGCAAUCAUUAUUUUUUGUUGUCAUGGAGAUUUUUGUUACUCGCGUACUUAGGUUUUAGUGGAAAAUUGAUGUUCUCAAGUGUAUUUGAUGUAUUUGUUACAAUUUUUUUUUAAGGGUUAAUUUGUUACACUUGUUGACCUAUUUUGUGGUUGUUUAGAACAAUUAUGCAAAAUUGAAGUUUAUUAA
Molecule: long non-coding RNA, 1149 nt
Organism: Medicago truncatula (barrel medic)
Lineage: Eukaryota; Viridiplantae; Streptophyta; Magnoliopsida; Fabales; Fabaceae
Exons: 2
Source: RefSeq, a predicted model, not a curated record